AAUAAAUGUAGUUUUACACUAUUUAUAUCUAAUGUUUAAUCAUUUAUCUUAUUUUAAAAAAUUUGUAUGAUUAUUAUUUUUAUUGUUAUUAGAUGAUAAAACAUAAAUAGUACUUUAUGGAUGACUUUUUAGUUUUUUCAUAAAUUUUUCAAAUAAGACGAACGGUAAAACGUUAGACACGGAUACUCACGACUGUACUUAUU
Oryza rufipogon (brownbeard rice) is the source of this 203-nucleotide microRNA precursor. It matches the Rfam family "MIR812 microRNA precursor family". The record is from Rfam. Lineage: Eukaryota; Viridiplantae; Streptophyta; Magnoliopsida; Poales; Poaceae.